ACUCGAACGGCGCGGCGCUGCAAGGCGCAGCCGCUGGACGAAGGCGUUUCGGGGAGGAAACGUCCGCUCCUGAGAGAGCGAGAAAGCCCGCUGCGAUGUAUCCCCCGCAGCGGGCUUUUUC
This 121-nucleotide small RNA is filed under the name Brevundimonas sp. AAP58. Its description in RNAcentral is "Caulobacter sRNA CrfA". It matches the Rfam family "Caulobacter sRNA CrfA". The record is from Rfam by way of RNAcentral. Lineage: Bacteria; Pseudomonadati; Pseudomonadota; Alphaproteobacteria; Caulobacterales; Caulobacteraceae.